Molecule: ribosomal RNA, 1294 nt
Filed under: Arthrobacter sp. KAR20
Lineage: Bacteria; Bacillati; Actinomycetota; Actinomycetes; Micrococcales; Micrococcaceae
Description: bacterial SSU rRNA
Rfam family: Bacterial small subunit ribosomal RNA
Source: RNAcentral
AUGCAAGUCGAACGAUGAUCCCAGCUUGCUGGGGGAUUAGUGGCGAACGGGUGAGUAACACGUGAGUAACCUGCCCUUAACUCUGGGAUAAGCCUGGGAAACUGGGUCUAAUACCGGAUAUGACUCCUCAUCGCAUGGUGGGGGGUGGAAAGCUUUAUUGUGGUUUUGGAUGGACUCGCGGCCUAUCAGCUUGUUGGUGAGGUAAUGGCUCACCAAGGCGACGACGGGUAGCCGGCCUGAGAGGGUGACCGGCCACACUGGGACUGAGACACGGCCCAGACUCCUACGGGAGGCAGCAGUGGGGAAUAUUGCACAAUGGGCGAAAGCCUGAUGCAGCGACGCCGCGUGAGGGAUGACGGCCUUCGGGUUGUAAACCUCUUUCAGUAGGGAAGAAGCGAAAGUGACGGUACCUGCAGAAGAAGCGCCGGCUAACUACGUGCCAGCAGCCGCGGUAAUACGUAGGGCGCAAGCGUUAUCCGGAAUUAUUGGGCGUAAAGAGCUCGUAGGCGGUUUGUCGCGUCUGCCGUGAAAGUCCGGGGCUCAACUCCGGAUCUGCGGUGGGUACGGGCAGACUAGAGUGAUGUAGGGGAGACUGGAAUUCCUGGUGUAGCGGUGAAAUGCGCAGAUAUCAGGAGGAACACCGAUGGCGAAGGCAGGUCUCUGGGCAUUAACUGACGCUGAGGAGCGAAAGCAUGGGGAGCGAACAGGAUUAGAUACCCUGGUAGUCCAUGCCGUAAACGUUGGGCACUAGGUGUGGGGGACAUUCCACGUUUUCCGCGCCGUAGCUAACGCAUUAAGUGCCCCGCCUGGGGAGUACGGCCGCAAGGCUAAAACUCAAAGGAAUUGACGGGGGCCCGCACAAGCGGCGGAGCAUGCGGAUUAAUUCGAUGCAACGCGAAGAACCUUACCAAGGCUUGACAUGAACCGGUAAUACCUGGAAACAGGUGCCCCGCUUGCGGUCGGUUUACAGGUGGUGCAUGGUUGUCGUCAGCUCGUGUCGUGAGAUGUUGGGUUAAGUCCCGCAACGAGCGCAACCCUCGUUCUAUGUUGCCAGCGCGUUAUGGCGGGGACUCAUAGGAGACUGCCGGGGUCAACUCGGAGGAAGGUGGGGACGACGUCAAAUCAUCAUGCCCCUUAUGUCUUGGGCUUCACGCAUGCUACAAUGGCCGGUACAAAGGGUUGCGAUACUGUGAGGUGGAGCUAAUCCCAAAAAGCCGGUCUCAGUUCGGAUUGGGGUCUGCAACUCGACCCCAUGAAGUCGGAGUCGCUGUAAUCGCAGAUCAGCAACGCUGCG